Molecule: small nuclear RNA, 106 nt
Organism: Chiloscyllium plagiosum (whitespotted bambooshark)
Lineage: Eukaryota; Metazoa; Chordata; Chondrichthyes; Orectolobiformes; Hemiscylliidae
Source: RefSeq, a predicted model, not a curated record
GUACUCGCUUCGGCAGCAUAAAUACUAUAAUUGGAAUGCUACAGAGAAGGUUAGCAUGGCGCCUGCAGAAGGAUGACAUGCAACUCUGUAUUUUUAGCGUACUCUU